Molecule: ribosomal RNA, 729 nt
Filed under: uncultured bacterium
Lineage: Bacteria
Description: bacterial SSU rRNA
Rfam family: Bacterial small subunit ribosomal RNA
Source: RNAcentral
GCAACCUGCCCAAAAGAGGGGGAGUAACACUUGGAAACAGGUGCUAAUACCGCAUAACCAUAGUUACCGCAUGGUAACUAUGUAAAAGGUGGCUAUGCUACCGCUUUUGGAUGGGCCCGCGACGCAUUAGCUAGUUGGUGGGGUAAAGGCUUACCAAGGCAAUGAUGCGUAGCCGAACUGAGAGGUUGAUCGGCCACAUUGGGACUGAGACACGGCCCAAACUCCUACGGGAGGCAGCAGUAGGGAAUCUUCCACAAUGGGCGAAAGCCUGAUGGAGCAACGCCGCGUGGGUAAAGAAGGUCUUCGGAUCGUAAAACCCUGUUGUUAGAGAAGAAAGUGCGUGAGAGUAACUGUUCACGUUUCGACGGUAUCUAACCAGAAAGCCACGGCUAACUACGUGCCAGCAGCCGCGGUGAUACGUAGGUGGCAAGCGUUAUCCGGAUUUAUUGGGCGUAAAGAGAACGCAGGCGGUCUUUUAAGUCUGAUGUGAAAGCCCUCGGCUUAACCGGAGUAGUGCAUUGGAAACUGGGAGACUUGAGUGCAGAAGAGGAGAGUGGAACUCCAUGUGUAGCGGUGAAAUGCGUAGAUAUAUGGAAGAACACCAGUGGCGAAAGCGGCUCUCUGGUCUGUAACUGACGCUGAGGUUCGAAAGCGUGGGUAGCAAACAGGAUUAGAUACCCUGGUAGUCCACGCCGUAAACGAUGAAUGCUAAGUGUUGGAGGGUUUCCG